RNAcentral lists this non-coding RNA (86 nucleotides) under 'Nostoc azollae' 0708. Its description in RNAcentral is "Photosynthesis regulatory RNA1". It matches the Rfam family "Photosynthesis regulatory RNA1". From Rfam's summary of the family: Formerly known as Syr1 discovered in Synechocystis sp PCC 6803, is a regulatory factor controlling photosynthetic functions. PsrR1 interacts with the ribosome binding regions of several photosynthesis-related mRNAs. The record is from Rfam by way of RNAcentral. Lineage: Bacteria; Bacillati; Cyanobacteriota; Cyanophyceae; Nostocales; Nostocaceae.
UUUAAAUCUUUUCAGCUUCGGUAUUGGAAUCUAAUCGUCAUUCUUAUUUCUCCUAAUCAACCUCGGUCAGUUUCACCGGGGUUUUU